UUCCAGCUUCAAGUGGCAAUCCAAAAGGAAAAUACAUUAUCCCUAAUAACACAUUACAGCCCACAGAAUAAGUUAUAGUAUUCAAAUACAGUCCAAAAGAAAAACAUAAGUAAGCAUCCAGCUUUCAGUUUCCAGAACCUGUUAAGGAAAACAAUAAACGUGGGGUGAGCUAAAACUCAGUGGUGCCCCAAAACAUGCAAUCACAUAAUUUCAAACAGCGAUUAAUAACUGAACCACUUUAAACAGUUAGGAAAGCGUAUAACAGUACAAGGUAGGAUACGGGGGCUCUCGGGAGCCAUUUUCCUCGCUUGAUCACCAUUUAUCGUAGUUGACCCUCCGUCAACUCUCACUACUUAUAAUCCAUGUAGAGCGUCUCAUUUUGAUACCUAACCCGACACCAUUCAUACCCCUGUCCCGGGCCCGUUCUUCGACUAAGAACGCAGUAUACUCGAGAUAUACCCGUAGAUGAUUGGUCGAGAGAUUCACCCAAUGACGUGAUUGCAAUCAGAUUCAAGCAUCGAGUAAUUCACCCAAUGACGUGAUUGCAAUCAGAUUCAAGCGUCGAGGGAUUCACCCAAAGACUUAUUGCAGUUAGAUUCAAGCGUCGAGGGAUUCUCCCAACGACGUAACUACAUUUAGAUUCAUGGUAGUUGGAUACAAGAGUCGAGGGAUUCACCCAACGACGCAACUCCAUUUUGAAACAAGGAUUUAGGAGAAAAUAUUUUGCACAAGUCACCACUCGAACGGCUAGUGUGAUAAAGUACACACAGCUCACUUCGAUGGAUCAGAAACCAAUUUUUUUUUUCAACUUAUCACAUAACAAGUCAAGAAAGCACUUUAAACGGUUAGGCAUAGAACAAGCAGGGACACUCACCAAGAGUGGAGUUCAGAUAUCAAGUUGGAAAUCAAAUUCCGCGUCCUCGCAGUAUCCUAAAAACCAAAAUUUGAAACUAUGAGUUUCUACUCAGUUUUUAAGCUUAUAGACAUUGAAGUAUAUCUAAUAUACUAUUAAUUUACUUUCCCUUAGAAAAAUCAAGAGUCCCUUAGAUUAAAACUUGACAAAAGUAGAAGAAAUAUUUCCUAUAGUUUUCCUUGAGUUACUUUUCUUAUAAAAGGGGUAACUAGUAUUAUUUUCUUUGAAUAAGUCGACAAACCUCUAAAUAACAAUGUUAGAAAGUUACUUUGAACAUUUCUUAAAAGUUACGGCAUUUGCAAAAAUUAUCCCUAAAAACUAUUUUUCCUAAAAUAGGGUUUCUUGCCGAGCAAGUUUCCCAGGCUUUUCACUAAAAUUAGUAAAACUCGUAUUUUGAAACUUUUUCUAUAGUGAACUAGCCAAACUUAAAGAAAAGAAAAGGAAUAAAAUAAGACUUAGGGUUUUCAAAAGCUAUGGAACUUAUUUACUAUAGCUAUCAAGCCUAGUUUGAGGUAUUUGGAAUUAUCGGUUUGGAAAGUUUUUUUUUUUUAGGCAAGACACUCGAUAUUGAGUUUUAUAAUAUAAUACUAGCUGGAAAAUAUUUUUGAUUACUUAGAUCACAGUUACUCGAGUUCGCAAGGUAGAAACGACUUCCACAGCUCCGAUUCCGUUUCGAAGUCAUAUUAUGGUUCAAAAUAUGGCAAAAUCACAUAGCAAAUUACUAGGGCUUCGUCAAUCAUUAGCCCUAGAGUUCAACAAAUGUAUUAUUGAUAAAAAUAAAAUGAAUGACCAAGGCUUCAUCAAUCAUUAGCACUUGGUUUCAGCAAGCUCAUCAUGAACAAAUAAAAAAAAAUAAAAGUACGGCCUUCAGACAUUCCAGCAAUUAACUUUUAUCACCCAAUAGUACUUAUAAAGUCAUUCAAAUGGCCAAGGGCUUCAUCAAUCAUUAGCCCUUGACAACAGCAAUUACUUCCAACCACAAUUUAAUCCAGAAUUUAAACCACAAGUAAGCUACAAGAUCAAACCAAAUCAAAAUUUAGUUUCACGAAGAACAGGACAUUCCUACUAAAACAGUCUACUUCAAGGAUUCACAGACAGCAGUACACCUGGAGGAAAAAUACGAAAUUUCUACAGGACAAAGGCCUAUGAUUCUAGUUUCAAAUGCCACUGACGGCGCCUUAAACGGAUUUUCCUACAUCAAGAUAUAAACAGUUUACUGGGACUGGUCAGGGACAUCCGAAAAUCUGAAAUUUCAAUUUUUCACUUGUGAAAACUCCUUUUCUCUUUUAACACCAACCUGUUUUUAUUUAAACCAUCCAUACACUUCUUAUAGAACUCCAAAACAACAUUUUCCAGGCAUUUCCAUCCAUCAAGUUUCAAGGAACAAUUUAAAAAUCAAGUUAAGGUUCCAACUCACCCUUUGGCUAUCACACAAGAAUUUCCAACAGGUAUAACCCAACAUUUUCUGGUUCCAUCUUCAAUUUAUCAAAUAUUUCAUUGUUAACCAACUUACACAACUUAAAACUUACAACUCCUCUGUAUUUCUAAACCAUUAUAAUCCAAGGAAAAAUCCAGAAAUAGGUUAAAAUCCAAAAAAAAAACAAACUGAAAAUUUCUGAUCCAACCUCUCGGCUAUCCAGAAUUUUUCCAGCACCUAUGUGUUUAUAAAUCCAACUUUUCCUCGGCUAAAACCUGGUUUUAGACAUCCAAAUUAGUCAUACAAAAACUCAUCUAGCUAAUUAAUAUUCCAAUUCAAAAUUUAACUUAAACAACAGCUGCAAAUCCCAAAAUUUCCAGAAAUUCUGUUCAGCUAGCUUCGGUGAACAUGCAUGUAACAGAUUUCAUUUUUUUUAUUUUAUUUAUUUAUUUUUUUUUUCUGUUUUAAACUAACUAAUUAGCUGCAUGCAGAGCCUAAUUAACUUGUUAUUAACCAUCUAAUUAUGGUUAUAAGCUUAAACAACAACAACAACAACAACAACAACAAAAUUGAACCAAAUUAGGCUGCAAUAAUCAAGCUAAGCUCUCGGCAGAAAUUUUCUUAACCAAACCAGAAAUUUUUCUCUGCUUUAAUACAUCAUCCGAAUGCACAAUUCAGCAUGCAUGGUCUAAAUCUUCAAGUCUUCACUCAGCUAAAGGCACUUAGGUGUUCAGAUGCCACAGACAAACACAAAUGGAGCUGCAUUAUCUCCUCAAAGUCUCGGUAGCAACAUUUCAUCAAAACAGAAAUUUUUCCUAAUGGUUUGAUUUCAGCAUCCGAUUGCCUAAUCCCUACAUGCAAGCUCAGAUGUAGCUUGCUCAACUAAUAAUCAACCUAAUAAGACCAAAAAUUACCUCAGAUAGCAGCUAAUCCUUCACACGAAAAUUUCCAGAAAUUUCUUCCUUGCUCACGGCUUCAAGUGCAGUCGGUGGUUCCUGGCUUCUAAGUUGCGGCUGGAAUUGGUUGUAGCUGGUAGAUUUGAGUUCGGUUGGUUGGAAUUGGUGGGGAUGAAGGUACAGAAUGGUGAAGCUUCCUGCAAAUUUCCUUCCUGGCUUCACUCCAACCCACGGCAGAACCAGAAAAUUUCUGGCAGCUCACGUUCCCUCCUUCCUAGCUCACGGAUGCAGCUCACCAGGUGGCUCUCUCUCUCGGAUGCUCUUGGUCGAAUGCAGAGGAAGAGGUGAGGCGCAUUUGUGGAGAGAAAUUGCAGUGGUUUCGGUGGAGUGUGCAGAGA
Molecule: long non-coding RNA, 3624 nt
Filed under: Coffea arabica (coffee)
Lineage: Eukaryota; Viridiplantae; Streptophyta; Magnoliopsida; Gentianales; Rubiaceae
Description: long non-coding RNA (CARA_LNC002255)
Source: RNAcentral